UGGAGGGCAAGUCUGGUGCCAGCAGCCGCGGUAAUUCCAGCUCCAAUAGCGUAUAUUAAAGUUGUUGCAGUUAAAAAGCUCGUAGUUGAAUUUCGGGGUCAGCAGGUUGGUCGUGCCAAUGGUAUGAACUGGCCUUGCUGAUUCCUCCCUCUUGAUGAGCCGUAAUGCCAUUAAUUUGGUGUUGCGGGGAAUCAGGACUGUUACUUUGAAAAAAUUAGAGUGUUUAAAGCAGGCAAGCGCUUGAAUACAUUAGCAUGGAAUAAUGAAAUAGGACGUUUGAUCCUAUUUUGUUGGUUUCUAGGAUUGACGUAAUGAUUAAUAGGGAUAGUUGGGGGCAUUAGUAUUCAAUUGUCAGAGGUGAAAUUCUUGGAUUUAUUGAAGACUGACUACUGCGAAAGCAUUUGCCAAGGAUGUUUUCAUUAAUCAAGAACGAAAGUUAGGGGAUCGAAGACGAUCAGAUACCGUCGUAGUCUUAACCAUAAACUAUGCCGACUAGGGAUCGGAUGAUGUUAAUUUUUUAAUGACUCAUUCGGCGCCUUACGGGAAAC
Molecule: ribosomal RNA, 548 nt
Filed under: uncultured Glomus
Lineage: Eukaryota; Fungi; Glomeromycota; Glomeromycetes; Glomerales; Glomeraceae
Description: SSU rRNA
Rfam family: Eukaryotic small subunit ribosomal RNA
Source: RNAcentral